This 72-nucleotide small nucleolar RNA is filed under the name Blastobotrys adeninivorans. RNAcentral's name for it is "snR66". Lineage: Eukaryota; Fungi; Ascomycota; Dipodascomycetes; Dipodascales; Trichomonascaceae. The record is from RNAcentral.
AUUCCCUUAUGAUGAAAUAACCAAGCAAUCAUAGAGUCAAGCUCUGAGGCAAAAAUAGCCGGUGGCGAGAAU